AUUGAACGCUGGCGGCAGGCCUAACACACGCAAGUCGAGCGCGAAAGUUCUUCGGAAUGAGUAAAGCGGCGGACGGGUGAGUAAUACAUGGGAAUCUGCCUGGUAGUGGGGGACAACGUUUCGAAAGGAACGCUAAUACCGCAUACGCCCUACGGGGGAAAGGGGGGGAUCGGGCAAGACCUCUCGCUAUCAGAUGACGC
RNAcentral lists this ribosomal RNA (200 nucleotides) under uncultured bacterium. RNAcentral's name for it is "partial 16S ribosomal RNA". It matches the Rfam family "Bacterial small subunit ribosomal RNA", at positions 30 to 231 of the family's 1533-position model. The record is from RNAcentral.